RNAcentral lists this long non-coding RNA (605 nucleotides) under Heterocephalus glaber (naked mole-rat). Its description in RNAcentral is "lncRNA (ENSHGLG00000042283.1)". The record is from RNAcentral. Lineage: Eukaryota; Metazoa; Chordata; Mammalia; Rodentia; Bathyergidae.
GCCUCUGGGGGGCGCUGAGUGCCAAGGCCGCGUGGAAGGACGACGGGGACAUCCACAUGGCAGUGGCUGGAAGCUGGGAGCUCUGGCACUAUGCGGGUCAGCAGGUGCCCACUGGGGCCAGUGUCCGGGGCCAGCGGGAGAGGCCGGUGCAGGUGCCAGGCCAGGAUGAGGACCACGUGCCUGACUUUCAGCGGCGAGCCGGGUGCCGGACUUCGCAGUGCUAAAGGCCAGCAGAAGGACAAACAGGCAAGAAUUACUGAGGAACAAAGUGACAAGCAAGCAAGCACACUGGGUGGUGAACAGGAGCCGAGCCCGACAGGAGACAUGGCCUCUGCACUGCGGGGGUGUGGCGGGGCGCUCGCUGGCAGGCACAGCCCCGGUUCCAUCCCCUGAACCACAAAAAAAGAUUAAAAAAAGAUGUCAGUGUUUUAUAAAAAUAGAACUAGAAGACAGCAUACGUGAGGUUUAUCUGACUUCAGCGUGAAGGGAAGACUUCCUACGCGAAAAAUAAUGAAGGGAGCUCAAAAAAAACCAGAACUAGAUUUUAAAAUUCUGUAAAUCACAAAGCUCCAUGAACCAAAAUUUUAAGCUAUUUCAUAAGUAGG